Molecule: ribosomal RNA, 378 nt
Filed under: Triticum aestivum (bread wheat)
Lineage: Eukaryota; Viridiplantae; Streptophyta; Magnoliopsida; Poales; Poaceae
Description: partial small subunit ribosomal RNA
Source: RNAcentral
AUGCAGUUUCACAAUCUGAACUUUCAUUUCAUUAAACAAGAAAAGCGAGGUUGGUCAUUGAUGAUGCAUUUAUGGAUCCAUUUGAUGAUGAAUCCUAUCCCAUCCCAUCUUGAAUACCCCUCUCUGCAUUUCAAAGGAAGGGGAGUGCGUCCGCUGCUGUAUGAGAAAAAGUGCACGCAACUGAGGACCCAAGAUGCUAACGGUGCAGAGCCGUUCACCAUCGAGAGGACCAGGGCCACCAUCAGGAAUCUCCGGACCAAGCUCAACAUCACCAUCGCCUUUGUCAAAGACAUGUCCCGGAGGGUAGUUGCUGUCUGCGACGACUCAUCCAAAUGCUGGCAAGGAUGUGGCGAGUCAUUGGCGAUGUGCACCGGGUGA